RNAcentral lists this transfer RNA (74 nucleotides) under bacterium F11. It matches the Rfam family "tRNA". From Rfam's summary of the family: Transfer RNA (tRNA) molecules are approximately 80 nucleotides in length. Their secondary structure includes four short double-helical elements and three loops (D, anti-codon, and T loops). The record is from Rfam by way of RNAcentral.
GCGCGGUUAGCUCAGUUGGUUAGAGUACUACCUUGACAUGGUAGGGGUCAGAGGUUCGAAUCCUCUACCGCGCA